UACGUAGGGCGCAAGCGUUGUCCGGAAUUAUUGGGCGUAAAGAGCUCGUAGGCGGUCUGUCGCGUCCGUUGUGAAAACUCGAGGCUCAACCUCGGGCUUGCAGUGGAUACGGGCAGACUAGAGUGCGGUAGGGGAGACUGGAAUUCCUGGUGUAGCGGUGGAAUGCGCAGAUAUCAGGAGGAACACCGAUGGCGAAGGCGGGUCUCUGGGCAACAACUGACGCUGAGGAGCGAAAGCGUGGGGAGCGAACAGG
RNAcentral lists this ribosomal RNA (253 nucleotides) under uncultured bacterium. RNAcentral's name for it is "partial 16S ribosomal RNA". It matches the Rfam family "Bacterial small subunit ribosomal RNA", at positions 524 to 776 of the family's 1533-position model. The record is from RNAcentral.